RNAcentral lists this ribosomal RNA (586 nucleotides) under Variovorax sp. Is-C087. RNAcentral describes it as "bacterial SSU rRNA". It matches the Rfam family "Bacterial small subunit ribosomal RNA", at positions 84 to 666 of the family's 1533-position model. Lineage: Bacteria; Pseudomonadati; Pseudomonadota; Betaproteobacteria; Burkholderiales; Comamonadaceae. The record is from RNAcentral.
CCUGGUGGCGAGUGGCGAACGGGUGAGUAAUACAUCGGAACGUGCCCAAUCGUGGGGGAUAACGCAGCGAAAGCUGUGCUAAUACCGCAUACGAUCUACGGAUGAAAGCAGGGGAUCGCAAGACCUUGCGCGAAUGGAGCGGCCGAUGGCAGAUUAGGUAGUUGGUGAGGUAAAGGCUCACCAAGCCUUCGAUCUGUAGCUGGUCUGAGAGGACGACCAGCCACACUGGGACUGAGACACGGCCCAGACUCCUACGGGAGGCAGCAGUGGGGAAUUUUGGACAAUGGGCGAAAGCCUGAUCCAGCCAUGCCGCGUGCAGGAUGAAGGCCUUCGGGUUGUAAACUGCUUUUGUACGGAACGAAACGGCCUUUUCUAAUAAAGAGGGCUAAUGACGGUACCGUAAGAAUAAGCACCGGCUAACUACGUGCCAGCAGCCGCGGUAAUACGUAGGGUGCAAGCGUUAAUCGGAAUUACUGGGCGUAAAGCGUGCGCAGGCGGUAAUGUAAGACAGUUGUGAAAUCCCCGGGCUCAACCUGGGAACUGCAUCUGUGACUGCAUUGCUGGAGUACGGCAGAGGGGGAUGGAA